Pelobates cultripes (western spadefoot toad) is the source of this 82-nucleotide non-coding RNA. Lineage: Eukaryota; Metazoa; Chordata; Amphibia; Anura; Pelobatidae. The record is from the annotation of a GenBank genome assembly.
AUCCAGAAUACAGUGAUGCUUAUUAUCCAAGCACAUAACUGACAUUAUUGUGCGGAAACAACUUAUUCUGAGUGCUCUGGAU